UCGAACGGUAACAGGAAGUGCUUGCACUUCGCUGACGAGUGGCGGACGGGUGAGUAAUGCUUGGGAACUUGCCUUUGCGAGGGGGAUAACAGUUGGAAACGACUGCUAAUACCGCAUAAUGUCUUCGGACCAAACGGGGCUUAGGCUCCGGCGCAAAGAGAGGCCCAAGUGAGAUUAGCUAGUUGGUAAGGUAAAGGCUUACCAAGGCAACGAUCUCUAGCUGUUCUGAGAGGAAGAUCAGCCACACUGGAACUGAGACACGGUCCAGACUCCUACGGGAGGCAGCAGUGGGGAAUAUUGCACAAUGGGGGAAACCCUGAUGCAGCCAUGCCGCGUGUGUGAAGAAGGCCUUCGGGUUGUAAAGCACUUUCAGUUGUGAGGAAAAGUUAGUAGUUAAUACCUGCUAGCCGUGACGUUAACAACAGAAGAAGCACCGGCUAACUCCGUGCCAGCAGCCGCGGUAAUACGGAGGGUGCGAGCGUUAAUCGGAAUUACUGGGCGUAAAGCGCACGCAGGCGGUUUGUUAAGCUAGAUGUGAAAGCCCCGGGCUCAACCUGGGAUGGUCAUUUAGAACUGGCAGACUAGAGUCUUGGAGAGGGGAGUGGAAUUCCAGGUGUAGCGGUGAAAUGCGUAGAUAUCUGGAGGAACAUCAGUGGCGAAGGCGACUCCCUGGCCAAAGACUGACGCUCAUGUGCGAAAGUGUGGGUAGCGAACAGGAUUAGAUACCCUGGUAGUCCACACCGUAAACGCUGUCUACUAGCUGUUUGUGACUUUAAGUCGUGAGUAGCGAAGCUAACGCGCUAAGUAGACCGCCUGGGGAGUACGGCCGCAAGGUUAAAACUCAAAUGAAUUGACGGGGGCCCGCACAAGCGGUGGAGCAUGUGGUUUAAUUCGAUGCAACGCGAAGAACCUUACCUACACUUGACAUGCUGAGAACUUUCUAGAGAUAGAUUGGUGCCUUCGGGAACUCUGACACAGGUGCUGCAUGGCUGUCGUCAGCUCGUGUCGUGAGAUGUUGGGUUAAGUC
Molecule: ribosomal RNA, 1027 nt
Filed under: Alteromonas mediterranea
Lineage: Bacteria; Pseudomonadati; Pseudomonadota; Gammaproteobacteria; Alteromonadales; Alteromonadaceae
Description: bacterial SSU rRNA
Rfam family: Bacterial small subunit ribosomal RNA
Source: RNAcentral